UUCGUAGAAGGGAAUACCCAACCUUCUUGAUUAACGUCUAACAACGAAUGUUUCACAAGAUUAACCUAUGCUCUAAAAGAGUAAUUAAGCCAUUAGCCAUAAACCCCUAUAAAAAUCUACAGAAAACAUUUACUUACUAAAACCUAGAAAAAAUACAAUCAUAAAAGGGAGUAGAGAUUGAUCCUCACCAACACAAGAACAAAGUUGAAAGCACCACUACAUAAGAAUCAAGAACCGAUUGAAGAGAAAGAAAGAAGAAAAAAACAAAAGGGAAAGAAGGGACGCACAAAAUGAUGAAACAAACAAACAAAAGAAAUAAACAAGAAAGAAAAAAAAGAAACAAAUGUGAAACAAUUGGGAAACAUGG
RNAcentral lists this long non-coding RNA (367 nucleotides) under Gossypium raimondii (Peruvian cotton). RNAcentral describes it as "long non-coding RNA (GRAI_LNC007739)". Lineage: Eukaryota; Viridiplantae; Streptophyta; Magnoliopsida; Malvales; Malvaceae. The record is from RNAcentral.